GACGGAAGGUGCAAGCGUUGCUCGGAAUCACUGGGCGUAAAGGGUGCGUAGGCGGCGCGGUAAGUCGGGUGUGAAAUCUCGGAGCUUAACUCCGAAACUGCAUUCGAUACUGCCGUGCUUGAGGACUGGAGAGGAGACUGGAAUUUACGGUGUAGCGGUGAAAUGCGUAGAUAUCGUAAGGAAGACCAGUGGCGAAGGCGGGUCUCUGGACAGUUCCUGACGCUGAGGCACGAAGGUCAGGGGAGCAAACGGG
RNAcentral lists this ribosomal RNA (253 nucleotides) under uncultured bacterium. RNAcentral's name for it is "partial 16S ribosomal RNA". It matches the Rfam family "Bacterial small subunit ribosomal RNA", at positions 524 to 776 of the family's 1533-position model. The record is from RNAcentral.